RNAcentral lists this ribosomal RNA (498 nucleotides) under uncultured bacterium. Its description in RNAcentral is "partial 16S ribosomal RNA". It matches the Rfam family "Bacterial small subunit ribosomal RNA", at positions 29 to 523 of the family's 1533-position model. The record is from RNAcentral.
AUUGAACGCUGGCGGCAUGCUUUACACAUGCAAGUCGAACGGUAACAGGCCGCAAGGUGCUGACGAGUGGCGAACGGGUGAGUAAUGCAUCGGAACGUGCCCAGUCGUGGGGGAUAACGCAGCGAAAGCUGUGCUAAUACCGCGUACGAUCUAUGGAUGAAAGCGGGGGACCGUAAGGCCUCGCGCGAUUGGAGCGGCCGAUGUCAGAUUAGGUAGUUGGUGGGGUAAAGGCUCACCAAGCCAACGAUCUGUAGCUGGUCUGAGAGGACGACCAGCCACACUGGGACUGAGACACGGCCCAGACUCCUACGGGAGGAAGCAGUGGGGAAUCUUGGACAAUGGGCGCAAGCCUGAUCCAGCAAUGCCGUGUGCAGGAAGAAGGCCUUCGGGUUGUAAACUGCUUUUGUACGGAACGAAAAGGUUUGGGUUAAUACCCUGGGCCGAUGACGGUACCGUAAGAAUAGGCACCGGCUAACUACGUGCCAGCCGCCGCCGCGG